GUCCACGCCGUAAACGAUGUCAACUAGCCGUUGGAAGCCUUGAGCUUUUAGUGGCGCAGCUAACGCAUUAAGUUGACCGCCUGGGGAGUACGGCCGCAAGGUUAAAACUCAAAUGAAUUGACGGGGGCCCGCACAAGCGGUGGAGCAUGUGGUUUAAUUCGAAGCAACGCGAAGAACCUUACCAGGCCUUGACAUCCAAUGAAUCUGCUAGAGAUAGCGGAGUGCCUUCGGGAGCAUUGAGACAGGUGCUGCAUGGCUGUCGU
RNAcentral lists this ribosomal RNA (263 nucleotides) under uncultured bacterium. RNAcentral describes it as "partial 16S ribosomal RNA". It matches the Rfam family "Bacterial small subunit ribosomal RNA", at positions 793 to 1055 of the family's 1533-position model. The record is from RNAcentral.